Non-coding RNA from Camellia sinensis, 541 nucleotides. Lineage: Eukaryota; Viridiplantae; Streptophyta; Magnoliopsida; Ericales; Theaceae. The record is from RefSeq and is a predicted model, not a curated record.
CUUUCGUUGGGUUUUCUCUAAGAAAUGUCCAAUCCAUAAGAAGAAGUUAUUUAUUUAUUUAUCAUUAUUAUUAUUUGCAACAAGUUAAGACUACUCUUCUUCCCUUCUUUAUUUUUUAUUUUUUUCCUCUCACAUAACUCUAAUUGUGUGAGAACUUGUCUGCAUGAUUUCGAGUUGAUGCACCAUUCAUUUACAUAACUUUUCUCUAAAAACAAUUAAGGAAAAGUCGUUACUCUUUUCCUAGGAUUCUUCCAUUCUCUUUCCUUACCUUUACCUCAUAAUUUACAUUUUUUCCCUUUAAUUAGCCAAACACUUCCCAUCACUCUUCCUGCGGUCUUUUUUCUUAUUGCUUUUAGGUUUCUUUUCUCUAUCAUAUAUUUUCAUUCCCUCAUAAAAAACAGAUUUUUUUUUUUGGGCAACAAGGUUUUAUUUCAAUUUUGCAAUGGCGUUAUCUAUUUGAUUAUGCAGUGAUCAUCAAGAUUUCGAUAUGACGGUUUUCAUAUUAUUCUUGCAAAGCAUCUUGGUUCUCUAACUUGGAAGG